RNA transcript from Vigna angularis (adzuki bean), 878 nucleotides. RefSeq lists it as uncharacterized. The record is from RefSeq and is a predicted model, not a curated record. NCBI's taxonomy places the organism in Eukaryota, Viridiplantae, Streptophyta, Magnoliopsida, Fabales, Fabaceae. The transcript has 6 exons.
UCCUCUCUUCACGUUCCCUCUCACUCUCAUUCCUCUCUUCCUCUUCGUCUCAUUCCUCUCUUCACGUUCUCUCUCAGUCUCAUUCCUCUCACGCAGUGGCUCUUCGUCUCAUUCCUCUCUUCACGUUCCCUCUCACUCUCAUUCCUCUCACGCAGUGGCUCCGCUGCCUCUUUCCUCUCACGCAGUGGCUCCGCUGCCUCUUCCACGAAAUCUUUGAAGUCUAACCAAAUAACAUGAAGAAGGUGAAGCCCUUGCUGGAAAUACCAGGUGCAGAGAGCAAGCUGUCACUGUGGAAGGCUAACCUAGCAGAAGAGGGAAGCUUUGAUGAAGCCAUUAAAGGCUGCAUUGGAGUUUUCCAUGUGGCCACACCCAUUGACUUUGAGUCCAAAGAUCCCGAGAAUGAAGUGAUAAAGCCUGCAAUAAGGGGAGUGAUAGAUAUCAUGAAGCAUGCCUGAAGGCAAAAACUGUGAGAAGGCUAGUUUACAGGCAUUUUUUGGUCUUUGGAAGCUCAUUCAAGGUUGCGGGGUGUUCCAUCUAUUUCUAGGAAGAAGAUGCAAAUAAUCACACCUAAUUGUCGACGUCAAUUGGGCAGUUAUGAGUGUGGGUAUUAUGUAAUGAAACACAUGCAUACCAUUAUUUGUACAAACAUUAUUGAAUCAUGGAAUAAGAUCUUUAAUGAUUCAUCUCCCAUGGAAGCUGCAGACAUGGAAGACAUUAGAAGGAACUGGGCUUCUUUUAUUUUAAGUGUUAGUAGAAACUUGGCUACACUUAAAUAGUGUAUGUACAUUAAUGUAAUAUUUGGAUUUAAUAUAUAGUUUCAUGUAUAAAUGAUGUAUUAAAUAUUAGACUAUUUAAUAUUUGAAAUGUAUUCUAUUUUA